This 314-nucleotide unclassified non-coding RNA is filed under the name Hevea brasiliensis (rubber tree). Lineage: Eukaryota; Viridiplantae; Streptophyta; Magnoliopsida; Malpighiales; Euphorbiaceae. The record is from RNAcentral.
UCCAUCUCGUACCCUUUGUAUAAAUAUAUAUAGCCGGAGCUUCCAUAUAUUUCAUUCACAUAUGCCUCACCCAACAACAUAUAGUCGUAGCAGAUACCACUCUUACAUCAAGUCAGAGAGAGAUCAGGUGAAACAAAAACAAAAGCAGAGCACGGCCGGUAAAAUCAAAAGACGAUGAACAAACUGGGAACACACGAAACAAGGUGGGAGACAUCAUCGAAUCAGAGAUGAACAAUUAAACAAGGCUAUAUAUGACGAUGACGGCUUAGUUGCCACCAGACUCCUCGCAGCCCGGGGGCUUGUAGGCGAUGAAG